ACCCGCCGAAUUUAAGCAUAUCAUAAAGCGGAGGG
RNAcentral lists this ribosomal RNA (35 nucleotides) under Conticribra weissflogii. RNAcentral's name for it is "partial large subunit ribosomal RNA". The record is from RNAcentral. Lineage: Eukaryota; Bacillariophyta; Thalassiosirophyceae; Thalassiosirales; Thalassiosiraceae.